GGUUUGAUCAAAUUAGGCUAGAGAUAUUAAAUACCAUAUCACUAUAAUGAUACCUGCAUUAUUACAGUUGUACAAUCGUAUAUUUUCCAGCGGCCUCGUCCCAAAAAAGCUUGAAAUAUCCGUUGUUCGGCCUAUAUACAAGAAAGCUACACGGGUCAACAAGUACCGGUUACGUACUGGCGCCGGAUCGCAAAAAGCCUGCUACGCCAAAACUGACAGUCCUACGGCUGCGCUGUUACGUUCAACAUCCUCAAACAACCGUGAAACUCACCCAUACAGCAGCCAACUCGCCCAGACUACAGUUCCUUGAAGACGCUUCACAACAAAGCAAACAAAAUCUCCAACGUGCGGAGGCCCAGUGACUCGUCGUGGAAGCGAAUGAAGUGAAUGUGGAUGUGUUCUUUUCUCACUUAAUUUUCUCAUUUUCUUUAUUUUAUAUUUCUUGUAUCUUGCUUCUUUUA
Molecule: long non-coding RNA, 461 nt
Organism: Ixodes scapularis (black-legged tick)
Lineage: Eukaryota; Metazoa; Arthropoda; Arachnida; Ixodida; Ixodidae
Exons: 3
Source: RefSeq, a predicted model, not a curated record